UUUAGGGCAGGGCAGUGUUUCAAAAUUAAAUGCAAAAAGGUCUUAUUCAGAGGUACAAGAGGGCAAACACAGAGAAUUCUUAAGAGCAGAGCAAUCAAAUCUGCAAAAAUCAGAAUAGCCAACUGAUGGCAGAAGAGACCUUUCUCCCGUUGAACAAAAGUUUGGAUUUUGGCCAUCCAGUGCUGGCAUUCCUCUUUAAUGAAUAAUAAUAACUUGCUCAGGCUUAUGUUGGUUUGAGGAACUGCAUGCAACAUUUGUUUCACACAUGCUGGAAAAUAUUUCUUUCUACCUGUUUAUCUGAAGGGUUGCUGUGCUUUUCAGGUAGUAAAUUAAUUACCUUAAGAAUUAAGAGCUGUCUCCUUAAGACAUUGCAUUGUGGGAGAUGUAGAGAGAUUGCAUUAUGGGAAAUGUAAUCCAGGACAUGUGACCACUUCUGUGUGUCCGAUUGGCCACUGAGACUCUCUGCUCGGGCUACAGAACAAAGCCCCAGCCAUUAUGAGUUGCCAUGGAGGAGAGAAGCAUGCUUUCUGAACAGGGGGACAGAUCUACCAUCAUUUUACACUAGGAAAUGGGACAGAUUAUGAAGUAAGGAUGAACCUCACCUUGACUCACCAUAAUUGGGCCGGCAAUGUUUUUCAGGCUGAGGAUCACAUGUAGUCUUUGAACAGCAUGCCUGUGGUUGCACUCCAAAAGAGUGACAGGCCGACAAACGACAAUUGAUUUUGCAUAUCUCAUUUCUCCCCUCAAGAAAAGGUUACAUCUAACUUGAAAAGGAGCAUGCAGGUUAAAAGCACCGAAAAAAUUUCUAUUCAAAACUAUUUUAAAGCAGCCACAUCUUUUCCUAGGACUAUGUGGUAAUUGUAGAGGGCAACUGUGCCAUCCUGAGAAAAUCCUUCACUGCUUUAAACAGCCAUAGAUAAAUGCUGUUUGGGCAUCCAAUCUAACCCUUUUUCAAAUUAUUUCUGAAGCACCAACAGACCUCAGUUACCCCAAGUAAUCAACUGCCAUUUGAACAUAAUUUUCCACCAGAAAUGAUUUUCAAACAGGUGGAUAAAGAAAGGUCAAUCCGUGAAGUGGGAGCAGGUCCGUGUAACUGAUUAUUAGAUAAGCUUAUAUGGCUCGUUUCUCCCCAAACACAAACAACUAAAUUGGCACAUAUGGAAAAAUCAGUAAAGUUUUUCAAUUGAAGAAGAGUCCAAAGCCGAACACUGAGGGGAAAUAUGAAGCCGAGUAACCCUAAAUAGAAGCAAACAUAAAAUUCUGACUGAAUACCAACUAGAGGUAGUAGAAGUGGUGAAAGGAUUUGCUGGUGACAUGACCAUUGCCCAGAGGACACCCAGUUGGGGACUCCUUUCGCAUCCCUGUGAAGUUGCCUAACGAGGGUACCCAUUUCUCUACUUAUGGUCACCCAUGGGGCAGCAGGAACUGGAGUGUAUGAUGGGAUCUCAUCCCAUGGCAGUAGCGAGUCUUGAACAUGAGCCUGUCGAUCAUCAGCCUAGCAUUCUUACCUCAGUAGCCAAUAAAUCCAAAAAUGCUGGAGAAUUUCUGGAAGCCUGAUACGCAGACAAAUCAGCCAUCAACCAGCACACAGAGAUAAAUAAUAUCUAGAUUCCAUUCAAAAGCAAUAAUCAAAAGGCCAAAAAGGAAAUAAAGAGACCAAAACACCUCCUUAUCAGCAAUCAACACCCAGAUGAGCAGAGAUCAAGCACUAAGAUACCAACAGAUACCAACAGUCAAGAAGUAAAUACCCUAAUUAAGGAACCACCAACUCAAACAACAGUAAACAACAGCCAGAUGAAAGAACCAACAAAAACUCCCACCAACACUGGCAGGGAAAGCCACAAGUACACAAAAAAAAAAUGAGAGCAAAGCCCACUCCUUUCUAGCACUGAUGAUGAUACCUAGUUUGGAAAUGAAAUGUCUGCAAGUAAACAGCCAAAUUCAGAGAGCAAUAAGGACCCCACCAUUCAAUCCGGGCUAUUUACGGGACCACCUACUGCCACAAACAGCCUCCCACCGACCUGUGCGCUCCCACAGGGAGGGCCUCCUUGGGGUACCGUCGGUGAAACAAUGUCGUCUGGCGACCCCCAGAGGUAGGGCCUUCUCUGUGGGGACUCCUGCCCUCUGGGACGAGCUGCCUCCGGGGCUUCGCCAACUCCCCGACCUUCGGAUUUUCCGCCGUGAACUGAAGACUCUUUUAUUCCGUCGAGCUGGGCU
This is a long non-coding RNA of Ahaetulla prasina, 2217 nucleotides long. RefSeq lists it as uncharacterized. The record is from RefSeq and is a predicted model, not a curated record. The transcript is spliced from 4 exons. Lineage: Eukaryota; Metazoa; Chordata; Lepidosauria; Squamata; Colubridae.